UUGCAGCCUAUUAAGCCGACCAGCGUUUGUUGAAAUCGAGCGAUGGUGUGCAAAGGCUGCGUCCAUUAAGUUCCUUGGCUGUGUAUGUGCUGUGUAUGUGCUCGGUUCACCAUAAAGAGCACUUAAAGGGGCCUUGGACACAGCC
Small nucleolar RNA from Spea bombifrons (plains spadefoot toad), 145 nucleotides. RefSeq annotates it as small nucleolar RNA SNORA70. The record is from RefSeq and is a predicted model, not a curated record. NCBI's taxonomy places the organism in Eukaryota, Metazoa, Chordata, Amphibia, Anura, Pelobatidae. The transcript has a single exon.